GACGAACGCUGGCGGCGUGCUUAACACAUGCAAGUCGAACGGAAAGGCCCUGCUUUUGUGGGGUGCUCGAGUGGCGAACGGGUGAGUAACACGUGAGUAACCUGCCCUUGACUUUGGGAUAACUUCAGGAAACUGGGGCUAAUACCGGAUAGGAGCUCCUGCUGCAUGGUGGGGGUUGGAAAGUUUCGGCGGUUGUGGAUGGACUCGCGGCUUAUCAGCUGGUUGGUGGGGUAGUGGCUUACCAAGGCUUUGGCGGGUAGCCGGCCUGAGAGGGUGACCGGCCACAUUGGGACUGAGAUACGGCCCAGACUCCUACGGGAGGCAGCAGUGGGGAAUAUUGCACAAUGGGCGGAAGCCUGAUGCAGCAACGCCGCGUGCGGGAUGACGGCCUUCGGGUUGUAAACCGCUUUCGCCUGUGACGAAGCGUGAGUGACGGUAAUGGGUAAAGAAGCACCGGCUAACUACGUG
Molecule: ribosomal RNA, 468 nt
Filed under: uncultured bacterium
Lineage: Bacteria
Description: partial 16S ribosomal RNA
Rfam family: Bacterial small subunit ribosomal RNA
Source: RNAcentral